Molecule: transfer RNA, 71 nt
Filed under: Candidatus Nealsonbacteria bacterium CG_4_10_14_0_2_um_filter_37_10
Lineage: Bacteria; Candidatus Nealsoniibacteriota
Also listed under: 1 other name
Description: tRNA-Thr
Rfam family: tRNA
About the family: Transfer RNA (tRNA) molecules are approximately 80 nucleotides in length. Their secondary structure includes four short double-helical elements and three loops (D, anti-codon, and T loops). Further hydrogen bonds mediate the characteristic L-shaped molecular structure. tRNAs have two regions of fundamental functional importance: the anti-codon, which is responsible for specific mRNA codon recognition, and the 3' end, to which the tRNAs corresponding amino acid is attached (by aminoacyl-tRNA synthetases). tRNAs cope with the degeneracy of the genetic code in two manners: having more than one tRNA (with a specific anti-codon) for a particular amino acid; and 'wobble' base-pairing, i.e. permitting non-standard base-pairing at the 3rd anti-codon position.
Source: RNAcentral
GCCCGGAUAGUUUAGCGGUAAAACGUCGUCUUGGUAAGACGAGGAGGGGAGUUCAAUUCUCCCUCCGGGCU